GGCCUCCCUCUGUGGGGCGAUCGAUCGUGGAGCCCUCCCCCAUUGAUUGCCUUGCAGAGGGUGGCC
RNAcentral lists this microRNA precursor (66 nucleotides) under Eptesicus fuscus (big brown bat). RNAcentral describes it as "mir-9242 microRNA precursor family". It matches the Rfam family "mir-9242 microRNA precursor family". Lineage: Eukaryota; Metazoa; Chordata; Mammalia; Chiroptera; Vespertilionidae. The record is from Rfam by way of RNAcentral.